This is a non-coding RNA of Acanthosepion pharaonis, 101 nucleotides long. Lineage: Eukaryota; Metazoa; Mollusca; Cephalopoda; Sepiida; Sepiidae. The record is from the annotation of a GenBank genome assembly.
AUGUUGAAAUACCAGUUCCUGUACAAUUUCUGAAGUUAAGCAAUGGCAAGCCUGGUCAGUACCUAGAUGAGUAAUCGCUUGGGAAUACCAGGUGCUGUAAG